CCUACGGGAGGCUGCAGUGAGGAAUAUUGGUCAAUGGACGAGAGUCUGAACCAGCCAAGUAGCGUGAAGGAUGACUGCCCUCUGGGUUGUAAACUUCUUUUAUAUGGGAAUAAAAUGUUCCACGUGUGGGAUGUUGUAUGUACCAUAUGAAUAAGGAUCGGCUAACUCCGUGCCAGCAGCCGCGGUAAUACGGAGGAUCCGAGCGUUAUCCGGAUUUAUUGGGUUUAAAGGGAGCGUAGGUGGAUUGUUAAGUCAGUUGUGAAAGUUUGCGGCUCAACCGUAAAAUUGCAGUUGAAACUGGCAGUCUUGAGUACAGAAGAGGUGGGCGGAAUUCGUGGUGUAGCGGUGAAAUGCUUAGAUAUCACGAAGAACUCCGAUUGCGAAGGCAGCUCACUGGACUGCAACUGACACUGAGGCUCGAAAGUGUGGGUAUCAAACAGGAUUAGAUACCCUAGUAGUC
This 460-nucleotide ribosomal RNA is filed under the name uncultured bacterium. Its description in RNAcentral is "partial 16S ribosomal RNA". It matches the Rfam family "Bacterial small subunit ribosomal RNA", at positions 338 to 795 of the family's 1533-position model. The record is from RNAcentral.